Biomphalaria glabrata is the source of this 2634-nucleotide long non-coding RNA. RefSeq lists it as uncharacterized. The transcript has 3 exons. Lineage: Eukaryota; Metazoa; Mollusca; Gastropoda; Planorbidae. The record is from RefSeq and is a predicted model, not a curated record.
CAUUAGUUGUUUUUUUUUCAAUCACAAUUAGUGUCAAAUCGUUUCAUUAAUUUUUUUUUAGACUUUAUUCUCAUAAGGAUUUCAAGGAUUAAACGACAAAGGCUGGCCAAUGUACAUGAAAGUGGAGCAGAAACGAAUUCCGGGACGAUGUCAUGGUCGUUAUAAAAUAUUGCUUCAGCGGACAACAAAUUCAACGUAAUAGACGCAUACUUGAUUAGGGUCCAGGGGUCAGCCAAUAGUCAGAUCGAUACAGAGCAUCCAGAACGGUGACGCUUCAGUAGCGGCCGCAGUCUUAACCAUGUAUCUUCUGAGACUUAUUCAAUAGGACUUAUGGAUAGAGACACACAGAGAUACAUUGAACCUCUGCACUUCCUCCCUAUUAGAUGUUCAACAUGUUGUAGACAGCAAGAAGAACUGUGAGUGAAACCAGUCAUUAGAACUUCUUUCACGUGAAGCCAAACCAGCAUUUCAAAGGUCUAAAAGGAGUCCACUUUGUUGACAUGUACACUUCAGACAUUUUGCAAUGACAUGGAACAAGGAAGUAACUCUAGGUUGAAUCAAGUCUAAACUAUUUAUAGCAACAGCUUUCCGGUAAAUUAGCGCUUGUAUUUUUUAAAAAUAACACGACGGACCAGUUGGAACCUCAAAUUAAAUGCAUUUAUUUUUACUUAGUAAUUAUCGCUUACAGUAGAUAGUGAAUUAGCUUCCAUAGAGCUAGGUGAUGUUAAGGUUGUUAGUUUGGUCUACGUGAAGUCCAUUGCAAGCCAAAACGUGUGCGGCUAUUACUUAGAAUUAAUUUUCCAACGAACCAAGUCUUAGGAUAAACUGGCUGUCGCAGGACAUAAAAAUAGCUACUCUUGAAGGAUAAAGACACUAUGAGGUGGGUCUCCACGAAGUAGCUCAUCUUAUUAUGAAGACAUUGAGGAGAGAAUAACACUUGUGUGUCAGCAAUUAUUGUAAUACUUUCUUCAAAAAAUAAUCUUAUCUUAUAUGAUACAGACGUUACUUCAAAAAAAGAAGAUGAUUACGUCCUACGCGUCAUGCAUUUAGUCAUGCAUAUUAACCAAUGACCUAAAUUCUGCCAAGUCACUGGUUUUCCUGGCUAGCUCAGGCAACCCAUUCCAUGCUCUAAUAGCGCUAGGGAAGAAGGAGCUUUUGUACAAAUUUGUCCUAGCAUAUCGAACGAGGAAUGUGCCUUUAUCUUUGUGUCUUUCUGCAGGGAAAUAAUUUAGGCUAUAACAUAGAAAGAAAAGAGACGAAGGAAAAGAUAGAAAAUAAUAAAGAAUAAAAAUGUAAGCGAGAAGGGGGGGGGGCGUAGAGAGAGACACACACACACAUACAGAGAAAACAGCGAUAAGAAUAACACAACAAUAAAAACAACAACAACAACAACAACAUCAACAACGUAAUUACUUUUGGAAACAAAGAUGUUCAGCUGAAGUAGUCUUGUGAAAGAUAUUGUCAGAGAUGUUCACAUCAAUAAACACGUCGGUAAAAACCAACAGACUUUUUUAUGUAUAGAAAAUCUUGUGAGAGAAUGAGUAGAUCCUAAUGUUUAUAUUUCUGACUCGCUACAUAUGAUGACACUACAAGGAGCCAUGAAAAGUUUAUUUUCCUGUCAUUCAUCAUUAAACGAAACCCAACAUACAAGAGCUCGGUAAUAGAUAUGUUUUGGGACCUAAAUAGAUGACCUUCUUUCUACAGAGGGUUCCAAACACAAAGUAAGUAAAGCCACUUUGUUUUGUCUAUUUCGAAACUGAUCGAGAGAGGUCAAUAUUGACCAAUUUAAGGUCAUGGUAAAAAUACUCUAAAAUGUACCCCUCCUGUUUAAAAGCCUUGACACCUCAGCGGACAAAAAGACAAACCCACACUCAAGACGUCUAGUUAAAUGCAGUACUUAGACAAUGUCUACUGAAGUGAUAUCUAAAACAAUGAUUUGUGAAGUGAAAUAGCUAAGACAAUGGUUAGUGGAAUGAUAGCUAAGACAGCGGUUAGUGAAGAGAGAUGUGUCGGCCUAAGACAUUGAAUGAUUGAUUAAAGAAAAAUGUGUGGCAGUGGCUACUAAAAAGAAAUAAUUCAAGACUAAAAUAUAAGAUAGUCUUGAAUGAGAUGUAUUAUGUAAGGAAGUAUUGGCUGAGAUAUUAUAAGAUACUUGACUGAGAUGUAUUAUGUAAGAUAUUGACCGAAAUGUAUUAUAUAAGAUAGCCAUGACAGAUGUAUUAUGUAAGACAGUCAUUACUGAAAUAUAUAAUUUAAGUUAGCAAUGACCAAGAUGUAUUAUGUAAGUUAGCAAUGACCAAGAUGUAUUAUGUAAGUUAGCAAUGACCAAGAUGUAUUAUGUAAGUUAGCAAUGACCAAGAUGUAUUAUGUAAGUUAGCAAUGACUGAGAUGUAUUAUGUAAGUUAGCAAUGACUGAGAUGUAUUAUGUAAGUUAGCAAUGACCAAGAUGUAUUAUGUAAGUUAGCAAUGACUGAGAUGUAUUAUGUAAGUUAGCAAUGACUGAGAUGUAUUAUGUAAAAUAUUGACUGAAAUAAAAUCUCAGUACAACCUGAGACUCAACAUAUUGUGUUCACUGGUAACAUCGUAAGUUAUUGAUUUUCAAAUCUGGUUAGCAGACGUGGGAUCUUAAUGACC